UAGGGAAUCUUCGGCAAUGGACGAAAGUCUGACCGAGCAACGCCGCGUGAGUGAAGAAGGUUUUCGGAUCGUAAAACUCUGUUGUUAGAGAAGAACAAGGACGUUAGUAACUGAACGUCCCCUGACGGUAUCUAACCAGAAAGCCACGGCUAACUACGUGCCAGCAGCCGCGGUAAUACGUAGGUGGCAAGCGUUGUCCGGAUUUAUUGGGCGUAAAGCGAGCGCAGGCGGUUUCUUAAGUCUGAUGUGAAAGCCCCCGGCUCAACCGCGGAGGGUCAUUGGAAACUGGGAGACUUGAGUGCAGAAGAGGAGAGUGGAAUUCCAUGUGUAGCGGUGAAAUGCGUAGAUAUAUGGAGGAACACCAGUGGCGAAGGCGGCUCUCUGGUCUGUAACUGACGCUGAGGCUCGAAAGCGUGGGGAGCAAACAGG
Molecule: ribosomal RNA, 429 nt
Filed under: Gemmatimonadota bacterium
Lineage: Bacteria; Pseudomonadati; Gemmatimonadota
Description: Gemmatimonadetes bacterium partial 16S ribosomal RNA
Rfam family: Bacterial small subunit ribosomal RNA
Source: RNAcentral